ACUUUGAUUAUGGCUCGGGACGAACGCUGGCGGCGCGCCUAACACAUGCAAGUCGAGCGGGAAGCUUUUUAAGGAUUCUUCGGAUGAAUUAAAAAGUGGAGAGCGGCGGACGGGUGAGUAACGCGUGAGAAACCUGCCCUAUACAGGGGGGAUAGCCAUUGGAAACGAUGAUUAAUACCCCAUAUGACCACAGUAUCGCAUGAUACAGCGGUGAAAACUCCGGCGGUAUAGGAUGGUCUCGCGUCUGAUUAGCUAGUUGGUGGGGUAACGGCCUACCAAGGCGACGAUCAGUAGCCGGCCUGAGAGGGUGACCGGCCACACUGGAACUGAGACACGGUCCAGACUCCUACGGGAGGCAGCAGUGGGGAAUAUUGCACAAUGGGCGAAAGCCUGAUGCAGCGACGCCGCGUGAACGAUGAAGGCUUUCGAGUCGUAAAGUUCUGUUCUUGGGGAAAAUACCGACGGUACCCAAGGAGAAAGCCCCGGCUAAAUACGUGCCAGCAGCCGCGGUA
This 512-nucleotide ribosomal RNA is filed under the name uncultured bacterium. RNAcentral describes it as "bacterial SSU rRNA". It matches the Rfam family "Bacterial small subunit ribosomal RNA", at positions 10 to 522 of the family's 1533-position model. The record is from RNAcentral.